UACGUAGGUGACCAGCGUUGUCCGGAUUUACUGGGCGUAAAGGACGCGCAGGCGGCCCGAGGGGUCUGUCGUUAAAGCCCGGGGCUCAACCCCGGGUGGUCGGCGGAGACCGGCGGGCUUGGAGGCCGGUAGAGGGAUGCGGAAUUCCCGGUGUAGUGGUGAAAUGCGUAGAGAUCGGGAGGAACACCAGAGGCGAAAGCGGCAUCCUGGGCCGGGCCUGACGCUGAGGCGUGAAAGCGUGGGGAGCGAACCGG
RNAcentral lists this ribosomal RNA (254 nucleotides) under uncultured bacterium. Its description in RNAcentral is "partial 16S ribosomal RNA". It matches the Rfam family "Bacterial small subunit ribosomal RNA", at positions 524 to 776 of the family's 1533-position model. The record is from RNAcentral.